Molecule: ribosomal RNA, 593 nt
Filed under: uncultured bacterium
Lineage: Bacteria
Description: partial 16S ribosomal RNA
Rfam family: Bacterial small subunit ribosomal RNA
Source: RNAcentral
UGGGGAAUUUUGGACAAUGGGCGAAAGCCUGAUCCAGCAAUGCCGCGUGUGUGAAGAAGGCCUUCGGGUUGUAAAGCACUUUUGUCCGGAAAGAAAUCCUUGGCUCUAAUACAGUCGGGGGAUGACGGUACCGGAAGAAUAAGCACCGGCUAACUACGUGCCAGCAGCCGCGGUAAUACGUAGGGUGCAAGCGUUAAUCGGAAUUACUGGGCGUAAAGCGUGCGCAGGCGGUUUGCUAAGACCGAUGUGAAAUCCCCGGGCUCAACCUGGGAACUGCGUUGGUGACUGGCAGGCUAGAGUAUGGCAGAGGGGGGUGAGAAUUCCACGUGUAGCAGUGAAAUGCGUAGAGAUGUGGAGGAAUACCGAUGGCGAAGGCAGCCCCUCGGCAAGUACUGACGCUCAUGCACGAAAAGCGUGGGGAGCAAACAGGAUUAGAUACCCUGGUAGUCCACGCCCUAAAACGAUGUCAACUAGUUGUUGGGGGAUUCAUUUCCUUAGUAACGUAGCUAACGCGUGAAGUUGACCGCCUGGGGGAGUACGGUCGCAAAGAUUAAAAACUCAAAAGGAAUUGACGGGGGUCAUAGCUGUUUCCU